GCAUCACAGAAACGCAAGGCUAGUAUUUAUCUUUUAUAGAUUUUUGAGGGAAAAAAACAAAUAAACACGCUUAAAAACUAAAUUACGGCAAACACACACGCCGCUUCGCCCUUUGCACCCCCAACAACUGGGCCAGAAAAAAAAAAAAAAAAAAAACCCUUCUAUAGAUCCCAGUUAUGCUUCUUCUCCAUUCUUACCCACUAUGUAGCACUUCUGCCUGUGUUCUUUUUAACUUACAGGGUAACCGAUUUUAUCCGUCCACAGAUUCUCUUUACAAAAUUGAAUUCAGACCAUUUAGGAGUAAGGGUCGAAAUGAGGUUCCUCAUCUCUUGCCAAUUAAACUAUGAUUGUAUUCAUGUUUGUAAUUCCACUGUCAUGCGAUUUCAACUUUAGGUACAUUGUGCAGAUUUACAAUUGCUAUUUCAAUUAAUAAAGCUCAUCGCCGUCUAUGAACUAACUUUGUUCAGACUUGUAAUCUCCCCCGUGAUAGGUCUGUACUUUAGAGUUUAUUAGGCAUUUUUUUCCCUCUUUUGUAGUUCGAAAGUAAAUAGCCUGUUAUACAGAUCUCCAUUUCCUACUCGUAAUAUUUGCUCUUGCUGUUUUCCGACUACAUCUAUGACUCUAAUAUAUAUAAAUAGUGAACUUUUGGUAUGCUUUGAAUUUUGACAACUAUUCGGACUGAAGUCUGAACUUCUCACUUUCCACCUCUGACCAUUUUUUUUCCUCUUUUGCACCUACACCUAUGCAGGAGAAGCAAAUCUGUAGCUGUACACUCCAGUCCCAUUGUCAUCAUCUGCUCUGCGAUAAAUUUGAGUAUAGGUUUUCCCCAACAAUUCUAUAUGUGUUCUUUUAAAUAACAUUUUUGUGGUGGAAAAGAUGUGCCGUUUCUUGAUUAAUUGUGUUAAACAAUCAGCCAAUUUCCCUAUGACUCCAAAGAAGACGAAUUAGAAUUUCAAAAAACACAAAGAAGAAGCAAAUCCGUAGGAGUACACUCCACGGCCAUAGUCCUUUAUUUACUUCGUUACCGGGUGAGUACUCUGUCUCUUACUUACAUUGAAAAGUUGAAAUUUAUUCCCAACACAUGAAUAAUUUCUUUCAAUUAAUUAUACUUUCUUUUCUUAAUCAAUAUGUGUAAGUUUUCCCAAUAUAUUUUGGACUCCAGCUGUGCGAUUUGCGGAUGUAAAAUACUUGAAAGCCAUUUAUGCAUGGCAACUCAGAUUACAAUGUGUUACAUGCAACACAUUUAUAAUAACUGCAGUUAUAGCUGUAGACAAAUCAAAUUGAUUGGACUUAAUCCACUAGGAGUUUAUUGUAAUACGGGAUGGAGGAGAGUCUUCUAAUAUCCUUUAACCUUUCCGUUUUCAGUUUCAAUACAUGGAGUUUCCAGUUAUGUGACAGAGAAGAAGCGCACGACCAGUCUGUAUCUCAGUAUUUAAGUGAUGUUUACUUACAAUUUCUCUCUGCAUUAACUGUUUUAGUGUCCAUAUAUAUCAAACACCCGUUAACUUGAAAUUUAUUCGGCAGUUCAGGGUAUUUGGUGUUGCCGAAAACUGAAUUAUAAAUAUAAGAGUCACUCCAAGUCAAUUAUUAUGUCAUCACUUGCCUUCAAUGUCAUUCUUUGCUUAUAUGCUUUACUUGUGGCAUAAAUAGUUUGGAUUGGACUUUUUCCAUUAUCUCAAUUUACCAUGAAUGCUAGCAUUGCAGGAAUAAAGUUCACCUAGAUAAGGUAUGACCACCCGAGAUUUUCAUUCCAGAUGGUCAAGCUAAUUAGUGCAAGGAUAGUUCAUUGUCAGUUCUAUGUAGACAUACAAAUCUCAGCAACUGGUUCAAUUUUUCUCAAGAUAAGCAAAAGGCUGCAAGGUAUUGGUAAUUGCCUUUUUGGCGAGUAUAGACUGGUUAGUCUUGUGUUGAUGGGAGAAUUUAGUAAGGUUGGAGUUGGGAUGUGUCACCUUUCACAGAAAGAUAUACAAGACAAGGAGCAGGAUAAGCUAAUUGCUCCGGAACAAUAAUUCCAUUCUGCAAGGGAAGGGAUUAUAACCAGGCUGUACAUCAAGAUAACUUGUUAGAUUUGUUUACAGUUAAGUGAAUUCUUCCGCUGUUGUAAGUGGAAUAACCGAAACCGAAAUAGUGUCGAAUAAGUUUUGAAGUAGGUGCUAUAACAUAUUGAUGUUUUGUUUGUAGCGUAGAUGGUAAUUGUUUGGGCCAGUAGGUGGUCUUGGUAUGAGGAAGCAUUUGAUAUGAUGCGUAAUUUUGUAGUUUGAGAAUUAUUUCAGAUAUUACUACCUAUUAUUUCAAUUAUACAUACAGCUGCCCUCUACUAAAUAGUUCAA
Lycium ferocissimum is the source of this 2330-nucleotide long non-coding RNA. RefSeq lists it as uncharacterized. The record is from RefSeq and is a predicted model, not a curated record. Lineage: Eukaryota; Viridiplantae; Streptophyta; Magnoliopsida; Solanales; Solanaceae. The transcript has 4 exons.